GACGAACGCUGGCGGUGUGCUUAACACAUGCAAGUCGAACGGUAAGGCCCUUUCGGGGGUACACGAGUGGCGAACGGGUGAGUAACACGUGAGUAACCUGCCCUCAUCUCUGGGAUAACAGUCGGAAACGGUUGCUAAUACUGGAUAUGAGCUUGCAAGGCAUCUUGUGGGUUGGAAAGAUUUUUUUGGUUGGGGAUGGACUCGCGGCCUAUCAGCUUGUUGGUGAGGUAGUGGCUCACCAAGGCUUCGACGGGUAGCCGGCCUGAGAGGGCGACCGGCCACAUUGGGACUGAGAUACGGCCCAAACUCCUACGGGAGGCAGCAGUGAGGAAUAUUGCACAAUGGACGGAAGUCUGAUGCAGCAACGCCGCGUGCGGGAUGACGGCCUUCGGGUUGUAAACCGCUUUCAAUUGUGACGAAGCUUUUUGUGACGGUAGCAGUAGAAGAAGCACCGGCUAACUACGUG
This 466-nucleotide ribosomal RNA is filed under the name uncultured bacterium. Its description in RNAcentral is "partial 16S ribosomal RNA". It matches the Rfam family "Bacterial small subunit ribosomal RNA", at positions 28 to 507 of the family's 1533-position model. The record is from RNAcentral.